GACGAACGCUGACGGCGUGCUUAACACAUGCAAGUCGAACGGAAAGGCCCUGCUUUUGUGGGGUGCUCGAGUGGCGAACGGGUGAGUAACACGUGAGUAACCUGCCCUUGACUUUGGGAUAACUUCAGGAAACUGGGGCUAAUACCGGAUAGGAGCUCCUGCUGCAUGGUGGGGGUUGGAAAGUUUCGGCGGUUGGGGAUGGACUCGCGGCUUAUCAGCUUGUUGGUGGGGUAGUGGCUUACCAAGGCUUUGACGGGUAGCCGGCCUGAGAGGGUGACCGGCCACAUUGGGACUGAGAUACGGCCCAGACUCCUACGGGAGGCAGCAGUGGGGAAUAUUGCACAAUGGGCGGAAGCCUGAUGCAGCAACGCCGCGUGCGGGAUGACGGCCUUCGGGUUGUAAACCGCUUUCGCCUGUGACGAAGCGUGAGUGACGGUAAUGGGUAAAGAAGCACCGGCUAACUAUGUG
This 468-nucleotide ribosomal RNA is filed under the name uncultured bacterium. RNAcentral's name for it is "partial 16S ribosomal RNA". It matches the Rfam family "Bacterial small subunit ribosomal RNA", at positions 28 to 507 of the family's 1533-position model. The record is from RNAcentral.